AUACGUAGGGUGCGAGCGUUGUCCGGAAUUACUGGGCGUAAAGAGCUCGUAGGUGGUUUGUCGCGUCGUCUGUGAAAUUCAGGGGCUUAACUCCGGGCGUGCAGGCGAUACGGGCAUAACUUGAGUACUGUAGGGGAGACUGGAAUUCCUGGUGUAUCGGUGAAAUGCGCAGAUAUCAGGAGGAACACCGGUGGCGAAGGCGGGUCUCUGGGCAGUAACUGACGCUGAGGAGCGAAAGCAUGGGUAGCGAACAGGAUUAGAUACCCUGGUAGUCCAUGCCGUAAACGGUGGGCGCUAGGUGUAGGGGUCUUCCACGACUUCUGUGCCGUAGCUAACGCAUUAAGCGCCCCGCCUGGGGAGUACGGCCGCAAGGCUAAAACUCAAAUGAAUUGACGGGG
RNAcentral lists this ribosomal RNA (398 nucleotides) under uncultured bacterium. RNAcentral's name for it is "partial 16S ribosomal RNA". It matches the Rfam family "Bacterial small subunit ribosomal RNA", at positions 523 to 918 of the family's 1533-position model. The record is from RNAcentral.